UGGGGAAUAUUGGGCAAUGGGGGAAACCCUGACCCAGCAACGCCGCGUGAAGGAAGAAGGCUUUCGGGUUGUAAACUUCUUUUACCAGGGACGAAGGACGUGACGGUACCUGGAGAAAAAGCAACGGCUAACUACGUGCCAGCAGCCGCUGUAAUACGUAGGUUGCAAGCGUUGUCCGGAUUUACUGGGUGUAAAGGGCGUGUAGGCGGAGAAGCAAGUUGGGAGUGAAAUCCAUGGGCUCAACCCAUGAACUGCUCUCAAAACUGUUUCCCUUGAGUAUCGGAGAGGCAAGCGGAAUUCCUAGUGUAGCGGUGAAAUGCGUAGAUAUUAGGAGGAACACCAGUGGCGAAGGCGGCUUGCUGGACGACAACUGACGCUGAGGCGCGAAAGCGUGGGGAGCAAACAGGAUUAGAUACCC
RNAcentral lists this ribosomal RNA (418 nucleotides) under uncultured bacterium. RNAcentral's name for it is "bacterial SSU rRNA". It matches the Rfam family "Bacterial small subunit ribosomal RNA", at positions 355 to 787 of the family's 1533-position model. The record is from RNAcentral.